UCAUCAAACUACGCCUUUGUUUCUUUGUUUUGAAUAUGCGCCCUCCAGCAGCGAAAAGUUACAUGUUGUGCCUUUAAGUCUUUUAUACUUUCCAUUGCUGAUGUUACUCAUCGCUAAAAGACAUUAACCUUUUUGCAUAUCUUGCCUCUUUCUUGACCAGGUUUCUCCAUUGGCUCGUUUUGUUGAAAGCGGUAUGGACGUGUGCGCUUAGAGCCAGGCAGCCUCAAAAACAGAUGAAACCUUCUGACAGAUGACCUCGACAUAUUGAUAGAUAUUUACAGAUUACAGUGGGGUUAGUGCAUGAGUUAUUAUAUUUAUAUUGAGGGUUCUAUUAGGUGAAAAAGUUCCCACACACAUAAACUCUCAUUCUAUACAAAAAGGGGAAAAGGCUCGGUUUGGAAGUGAAAACGAUAGUAUUUAUACAAGAUUAAUACAAUAUCUCUGACAGUUUCAUACAGUUGUCCUCAAAUACUAUGCAAUGCCCUAGCGAUAUAUUAAUAAUCUCUCUUUAUUUCAUUCAUCUCGAAUGGUUGUUUCUAUUAUGGAGACAUACGAAAUGAAAAUCGCUUUGAUGGGAUUUCCUUCAGAUCUUUGCUAGUGAAUAAAACCUGCCGCAUUCUUUGUAAGACUAUCAAAUGAGUGUAAAUACUGCAACAUGUCUUCUAAUAGUUAUCAGGAUACCUCAUAUGAGCGCAGGCAUAUGAACUGGUGCAGAAUAUUUACCAUCCAAUCCUGGACACAAUGCCGAUUCACUAUUAGGCUACUAGACUUUAUGACAGCGUCUCUCAACUUACAUCCAUUUUACAACCAAAAACAAAAGAGUUGAACUAGAUUAGUCAUUAAAGGGCUAGAAAAGGUAGGUCAACUCACUGUUAUUGCCCUUCCAUUCUUCUGUCAGCUGUGUGUCAACAGUCUGCCCGCCAAAAAAAGCACGUGCCUCAGAGACCGCGGUUAUUCUAACCGUCGAAACCAUGGUUUUAAAAAAGGGGCAAUUCAUCUGAAUAAAGCUCAACUCCAAUUUCCAUAGUAGACCCCAUCAAAAAAAAUAAAAAAUUUAAACUUCUACACAAACCUCGUACAAUCCUCGGAACUGUAAUAAAUAAAUAAAUAUGUUCAUCGUGUCAAUAAAUUAACCCAUUAGCAAUAAUAAGUAAAAGCAAAUAAAUACGUAACAACUUCAAUGAUUCAAAAGAUAAAGUCCCACAAGGUAGUAAGAUUAAAAGUCUCAGGGGAUCUCGCCUUUAGCUGUGACCCCCCAUUAAACAGGUCACCAAGAAGAGAGAUCGACUGUCUGAGACACAGAGAUGGAGUGGCAGCACCACUGAGGGGAGCGAGAAACCCGGAUGGCGCUGGACAAAAGCGAAAAGACCCUGUCGCAGUGGCUCCUUAACCCCGUUCUUUCCCUUAAAUGUUUCGGUUCCUCUCUACCUUUCCCUGGAUAUGAGAGACAGCUCAAGCAGGCAGCGCACACCUUUGUCACUUCAAGAUAAACAGUUUUGGAUGAGACAUGGAAGCUAGUCUCACAGUUCAGUGGAGGAACAUGUUUUAUGUAUGUGUGGGGGCUGAUUCCUAUGUGUCAUGUUAUUUAAUGAAAUAUCUAGCCUCUGACCCACUGCGCUUUGUACAUUUUCCCUCUCGCUCAUCAGUCCAGGCCCGUUCCGACCUUUUCUUUCCGAUUUCCUUUUUUGUCUUCCAUGGCAAUGAUCCCUUUUCACCCCUCCAGAAAAAAA
Molecule: long non-coding RNA, 1730 nt
Organism: Sinocyclocheilus grahami
Lineage: Eukaryota; Metazoa; Chordata; Actinopteri; Cypriniformes; Cyprinidae
Exons: 2
Source: RefSeq, a predicted model, not a curated record